Molecule: transfer RNA, 60 nt
Filed under: Nocardioides daedukensis
Lineage: Bacteria; Bacillati; Actinomycetota; Actinomycetes; Propionibacteriales; Nocardioidaceae
Description: tRNA-OTHER
Source: RNAcentral
GUGUGGAGUGGCACUCUCGCAAUGAGAAGGUCAGGGGUUCGAAUCCCCUCAGCUCCACCA